UACGAGGGGUGCAAGCGUUGCUCGGAAUCAUUGGGCGUAAAGGGUAGGUAGGUGGUCUGAUUUGUCAGGGGUGAAAGCCUUGGGCUUAACCUGAGAAGUGCCCCUGAAACGGUCAGACUUGAGUCUUGGAGAGGGUCGUGGAAUUCCCGGUGUAGCGGUGAAAUGCGUAGAGAUCGGGAGGAACACCAGAGGCGAAGGCGGCGACCUGGACAAGCACUGACACUCAACUACGAAAGCGUGGGGAGCAAACAGG
This 253-nucleotide ribosomal RNA is filed under the name uncultured bacterium. RNAcentral describes it as "partial 16S ribosomal RNA". It matches the Rfam family "Bacterial small subunit ribosomal RNA", at positions 524 to 776 of the family's 1533-position model. The record is from RNAcentral.